This is a long non-coding RNA of Phyllostomus discolor (pale spear-nosed bat), 968 nucleotides long. RefSeq lists it as uncharacterized. The record is from RefSeq and is a predicted model, not a curated record. NCBI's taxonomy places the organism in Eukaryota, Metazoa, Chordata, Mammalia, Chiroptera, Phyllostomidae. The transcript has 3 exons.
GUGCGCUGGGACAGCGAGGAAGGUGGGAGGGCUGGGCAGCGUGGCAGGCGGGUAGGGACCCCAGCCAUCGUCUGCCCGCCCUACCGCACCCCGGGAGUGAGCGAGGCCGGGUAGACACACGAAUUCAAUCCGCCUUGCUUGGGAUCCAGCCGGUACUAUACCAGCGUUCACUUAACAACCAACACCAGCACCCAGGCCUGUUACAAUCGGUGAGUCACCUCCGCCUGUGACCACCCUGCAGUCCCGAGUGUUCUAAAUUACAGACAUGUACCCAAACUAUCUAUGUUCCUGUGUGUUUGAAGGCAUACAUUACAAAGCACCAAACUAAGUUAGCUGUCUACUGUACUAUUGUAUGGUAGCAUCGGUGCAGAGAGAACAUGGGGGUGUACAUUCAGAAAUCACAACCAGCUGCAUGUGCAACAAAUAGCAAGAGUACAUUCUACCCAGGGAUCCUGACCUUUGAGCUACACAUAUUUGGCUCUCUUCAAAAUUAUUCAAAACUAUCAAUGCCAUGAAAGGCUCAGGAACUCUUCCAGAUGAGAGAAAUUAAAGGAACAACUAAAUAAGAUACGUAUACUGCAACCUCUAGUGGAGGAAAAAACAAAUGCUAUAAAGGAUAUUAUUCCGUUGACAAAUUGGAAUAUGGAUGGCAAAUCAUUUAAAAGUGUUGUUUUGAUGUUAAAAUCUCUUGAAGUAAAUAAAUGUACUGUGGUUAUAUAACAGAAAGUCUUUUUUCUUUGGAAAUAUACAAUGAAGUAUCUGGUAAGAGAAGGAACAUGAUGUAUGCAGCUCAUUCUCAAAUAAUUUAGAAAAAAACUACGUGUGAAGGUAUGGUAAAUCCCUCAUAAACAAAAAAGCAGGUACAAUAAAAACGUUAGCAAUAAGUGAAUUUGGCCCAGUUGAUUAGAGCAUUGUCCCAUGGACUGAAAGGUUGUAUGUUCAAUUCCUGAUGAGGGCACAUACCCAGG